UACGGGGGGGGCAAGCGUUGUUCGGAAUUACUGGGCGUAAAGGGCUCGUAGGCGGCCAACUAAGUCGGAUGUGAAAUCCCCAGGCUUAACCUGGGAACUGCAUCCGAUACUGGAUGGCUUGAAUCCGGGAGAGGGAUGCGGAAUUCCAGGUGUAGCGGUGAAAUGCGUAGAUAUCUGGAGGAAUACCGGUGGCGAAGGCGGCAUCCUGGACCGGCAUUGACGCUGAGGAGCGAAAGCGUGGGGAGCGAACAGG
Molecule: ribosomal RNA, 253 nt
Filed under: uncultured bacterium
Lineage: Bacteria
Description: partial 16S ribosomal RNA
Rfam family: Bacterial small subunit ribosomal RNA
Source: RNAcentral